AAGUUAAUACCUUGCUGUUUUGACGUUACCAACAGAAUAAGCACCGGCUAACUUCGUGCCAGCAGCCGCGGUAAUAA
This 77-nucleotide ribosomal RNA is filed under the name Pseudomonas sp. Tn-P20. RNAcentral's name for it is "partial 16S ribosomal RNA". Lineage: Bacteria; Pseudomonadati; Pseudomonadota; Gammaproteobacteria; Pseudomonadales; Pseudomonadaceae. The record is from RNAcentral.